This 390-nucleotide ribosomal RNA is filed under the name uncultured Streptococcus sp. RNAcentral describes it as "bacterial SSU rRNA". It matches the Rfam family "Bacterial small subunit ribosomal RNA", at positions 187 to 571 of the family's 1533-position model. Lineage: Bacteria; Bacillati; Bacillota; Bacilli; Lactobacillales; Streptococcaceae. The record is from RNAcentral.
CUCCCACGACUAGGGAAAAUAUUUAUAGCCUGAAGAUGAGCUCGCGUCCGAUUAGCUAGUUGGCGGAGUAAAAGCCCACCAAGGCGACGAUCGGUAGCUGGUCUGAGAGGACGAUCAGCCACACUGGGACUGAGACACGGCCCAGACUCCUACGGGAGGCAGCAGUAGGGAAUCUUCGGCAAUAGACGGAAGUCUGACCGAGCAACGCCGCGUGAGUGAAGAAGGUUUUCGGAUCGUAAAGCUUUGUUGUAAGAGAAGAACGAGUGUGAGAGUGGAAAGUUCACACUGUGACGGUAUCUUACCAGAAAGGGACGGCUAACUACGUGCCAGCAGCCGCGGUAAUACGUAGGUCCCGAGCGUUGUCCGGAUUUAUUGGGCGUAAAGCGAGCG